UAAUAUAAUGAUAAUUAAAAUAUCACAUCACCGCCAUAUAUCAGUACUAUUAAUAAAUCUAAUUUAUCGACCGUCCCUAACGCAAAUGACAAAAGAACUUGAUGGUUGGUAUCCGAGACCCAAGUUUGAAUCCUAGUUGAUUCACAUUUCCAGCUAAGUUUAUUUCUAAAUAAAAUAAACAAAGCGGAUAGCAUGCUACAUUUCUCUCUAAAAAAAAAAAAUUAAAUUUAAUUUGUUUAUAGCACAAUUGAAUCUAAU
Molecule: long non-coding RNA, 258 nt
Filed under: Ananas comosus (pineapple)
Lineage: Eukaryota; Viridiplantae; Streptophyta; Magnoliopsida; Poales; Bromeliaceae
Description: long non-coding RNA (ACOM_LNC020505)
Source: RNAcentral